RNAcentral lists this ribosomal RNA (571 nucleotides) under fungal sp. ZH S7-4-1. RNAcentral describes it as "eukaryotic LSU rRNA". The stretch from base 215 to 368 matches the Rfam family "5.8S ribosomal RNA". Lineage: Eukaryota; Fungi. The record is from RNAcentral.
AAGUUAGAUCUCGUUGGUGACCAGCGGAGGGAUCAUUAAAGAGUUCUAUAACUCCCAAACCCAUGUGAACAUACCUAACGUUGCCUCGGCAGGUCGCGCCUACCUCGUAGCCCCCUACCCUGUAGGGCCUACCCGGGAGACGCGGGUAAGCCUGCCGGCGGCCCACCAAACUCUGUUUGAUAUUGAAUUCUGAACCUAUAACUAAAUAAGUUAAAACUUUCAACAACGGAUCUCUUGGUUCUGGCAUCGAUGAAGAACGCAGCGAAAUGCGAUAAGUAAUGUGAAUUGCAGAAUUCAGUGAAUCAUCGAAUCUUUGAACGCAUAUUGCGCCCAUUAGUAUUCUAGUGGGCAGGACCGUUCGAGCGUCAUUUCGACCCUUAAGCCUUAGUUGCUUAGUGUUGGGAGCCUACGGUAACGUAGCUCCUCAAAGUUAGUGGCGGAGUUGGUUCAGGGUCUAGACGUAUUAAUUUUUUAUCUCGCCGAUCAGUUGGACCGAUCCCCUGCCGUAAAACCCCCAACUUCUCAAGGUUGACCUCUAAUCGGUUCAGACAAUCUCUCUAAAUUGUUGCAU